CAGCAGCCACGGUAAUACGGAGGGUGCAAGCGUUAAUCGGAAUUACUGGGCGUAAAGCGUGCGUAGGCGGUUCGUUAAGUCUGUUGUGAAAGCCCCGGGCUCAACCUGGGAAUGGCAAUGGAUACUGGCGAGCUAGAGUGUGUCAGAGGAUGGUGGAAUUCCCGGUGUAGCGGUGAAAUGCGUAGAGAUCGGGAGGAACAUCAGUGGCGAAGGCGGCCAUCUGGGACAACACUGACGCUGAGGCACGAAAGCGUGGGGAGCAAACAGGAUUAGAUACCCCUGUAGUCCCUGUCUCUUAUAC
This 301-nucleotide ribosomal RNA is filed under the name uncultured bacterium. Its description in RNAcentral is "partial 16S ribosomal RNA". It matches the Rfam family "Bacterial small subunit ribosomal RNA", at positions 509 to 807 of the family's 1533-position model. The record is from RNAcentral.